CUACGGGCGGCUGCAGUAAGGAAUAUUGCGCAAUGGAGGCAACUCUGACGCAGCCAUGCCGCGUGCAGGACUGAAGGCCUUAUGGGUCGUAAACUGCUUUUAUUUAGGAAUAAACUCUUGUACGUGUACGAGACUGAAGGUACUAAAUGAAUAAGCACCGGCUAACUCCGUGCCAGCAGCCGCGGUAAUACGGAGGGUGCAAGCGUUAUCCGGAUGUAUUGGGUUUAAAGGGUGCGCAGGCGGACUAUUAAGUCAGAGGUGAAAUCCCGGAGCUCAACUUCGGAACUGCCUUUGUACUGGUAGUCUUGAAUGCGGCUGAUGCAGGCGGAAUGUAGCAUGUAGCGGUGAAAUGCAUAGAGAUGCUACAGAACACCGAUCGCGAAGGCAGCUUACUAAGCCGAUAUUGACGCUCAGGCACGAAAGCGUGGGGAGCGAACGGGAUUAGAUACCCCAGUAGUC
This 459-nucleotide ribosomal RNA is filed under the name uncultured bacterium. Its description in RNAcentral is "partial 16S ribosomal RNA". It matches the Rfam family "Bacterial small subunit ribosomal RNA", at positions 339 to 795 of the family's 1533-position model. The record is from RNAcentral.